CUCAGCUUUGUUUAGUGUUUAGAGGAAAAGGAGACGGGCGGCGAGCGGGCCUUGGAGGGGCAGCGGCGGCGGCGGCGGCGAGCGGGCUCUGGAGGGGCAGCAGCGGCUAGAGGGCCUCGGUGGCGUGGAGGCGAGCAGCGCGGCGAGCAUAGGAGGAGGAGGCGGAGGAGCGGCCUCUGUUGUACAGCUGCGAACGGCGCCGCUCCCGGCUGUUGAAGAUGAUGGGCGGGCUUACCUCGGGCUUCUUCCCACCCGACUUGUUCAAGGUGCCGGUUGUACGGGAGUCCCUCGCCCGCUCCUUCGACCUAGUCCCGUAGGACUAAUAUUCUAAGCUCUACGGAAAGUUACAGACCACACCACCUACGUCGAGGUACUAUCCCUUCCCUCAUUCCAAAUUACGACUUUUCUUUGUUCAACCUUUAAUAAUGAGAUGGUUCUAUACCUCGAAGUCAUACUUUAGUGGUACAACGGUCGUACUCUAUCAGUAUGUAUGCCUGGGCUUCUUAUGACUCAUACAAUAUUAGUCACCCCGAGUCGCCUUCUGACUUCUAAAACUACAACUUCUACGUCUCUGCGAGGACGAGGGACGCCUACUUCUUUCUCUGUUCGAACGCCUAGGGUACAUAUUCGAACUUGUGGUCCCUCUCCUAUAAGCCUUCUUCUUUCUUCUCCUCGGACAAAAUCAAGCCGAAGUUGCGGAGAGACUAUCGGCAGUAAGACUACUAAUAAGGGACUUGUCUUGGGAGGCGAUGGCGGAAUCCUCGGUUUUCUUCUCUCAACGACUUCUCUUCUUUAGUCGCUCCUCCUACCCCGAGCCUCAUGCGGAAGACGGUGGGAGGCGUCUCCUACGACGGCGACGUCGAGCACACUCCAAGCGGAGCUUAAAGCUCUUCUUGUCCUUCCUGUUCUCUCGUCGCUAGUUCCGGCGGAGGUAGAAGGGCCUCGGUAGUCCGAGUCGAAGCUUUCUGUUCGAUCUGGAACGCGACUUCUCCGCCUUAUAUUUUCGAUCACGUCGCAGCCGCGACUACCGCCCGUCCCGUUUCGGCAGCAGCACCAGCGCCGUCUCGUGGCCAAGACCUUCACGUUCCUGACGACACGGCUAUAACCGUUCCGCGUUCAUCUCGGUGUGGGGCUCAACACGAACGCGUUGGUUCGUUCUUAAAACACUAGAACAGGCCAGACAACGAGUCAUGCGGGGUACAUAUGCACAUAGAACACAUCAUGGAAGUAACUAGAUCGUCACAUGACAUUGGAACCACAAUACAGGACGACAGCACCGACCCCGACACUCGGACACUGUAUAGUACUCUUUGACUAAACGGAACAUUGACUACUAAGACCUGAUUGACUAAACGCAAAAAAGAGUAAAAAAAUCAGUGAAAAG
Molecule: ribosomal RNA, 1384 nt
Filed under: Triticum aestivum (bread wheat)
Lineage: Eukaryota; Viridiplantae; Streptophyta; Magnoliopsida; Poales; Poaceae
Description: partial small subunit ribosomal RNA
Source: RNAcentral